CCCUUUGUGGUGUAGUUGGUAUCACACCCGGCUGUAAUGGAAUCUUCUCCUUGCGGAGUACCGGUUGGUCACCAGUUCGACUCUGGUCGGAGGGA
This 95-nucleotide transfer RNA is filed under the name Terfezia boudieri ATCC MYA-4762. It matches the Rfam family "tRNA". From Rfam's summary of the family: Transfer RNA (tRNA) molecules are approximately 80 nucleotides in length. The record is from Rfam by way of RNAcentral. Lineage: Eukaryota; Fungi; Ascomycota; Pezizomycetes; Pezizales; Pezizaceae.